GGGUUGUGAGGUUAAGCGACUAAGCGUACACGGUGGAUGCCCUGGCAGUCAGAGGCGAUGAAGGGCGUGCUAAUCUGCGAUAAGCGCCGGUAAGGUGAUAUGAACCGUUAUAACCGGCGAUACCCGAAUGGGGAAACCCAGUGUGACUCGUCACACUAUCAUUAACUGAAUCCAUAGGUUAAUGAGGCGAACCGGGGGAACUGAAACAUCUAAGUACCCCGAGGAAAAGAAAUCAACCGAGAUUCCCCCAGUAGCGGCGAGCGAACGGGGAGGAGCCCAGAGCCUGAAUCAGCAUGUGUGUUAGUGGAAGCGUCUGGAAAGGCGCGCGAUACAGGGUGAUAGCCCCGUACACAAAAGCGCAUGUGUUGUGAGCUCGAUGAGUAGGGCGGGACACGUGGUAUCCUGUCUGAAUAUGGGGGGACCAUCCUCCAAGGCUAAAUACUCCUGACUGACCGAUAGUGAACCAGUACCGUGAGGGAAAGGCGAAAAGAACCCCGGCGAGGGGAGUGAAAAAGAACCUGAAACCGUGUACGUACAAGCAGUGGGAGCACAG
RNAcentral lists this ribosomal RNA (553 nucleotides) under Salmonella enterica subsp. enterica. RNAcentral's name for it is "partial 23S ribosomal RNA". It matches the Rfam family "Bacterial large subunit ribosomal RNA", at positions 1 to 584 of the family's 2925-position model. Lineage: Bacteria; Pseudomonadati; Pseudomonadota; Gammaproteobacteria; Enterobacterales; Enterobacteriaceae. The record is from RNAcentral.